This 67-nucleotide transfer RNA is filed under the name Neotetracus sinensis (Shrew gymnure). Its description in RNAcentral is "tRNA-Phe". It matches the Rfam family "tRNA". From Rfam's summary of the family: Transfer RNA (tRNA) molecules are approximately 80 nucleotides in length. Their secondary structure includes four short double-helical elements and three loops (D, anti-codon, and T loops). Lineage: Eukaryota; Metazoa; Chordata; Mammalia; Eulipotyphla; Erinaceidae. The record is from RNAcentral.
GUUUUUGUAGCUUAAAUCCAAAGCAAAGCACUGAAAAUGCUUAGAUGGGUUUAUUACCCCAUAAACA